UUUUUUUUGGUGGAGACGGGGUUUCGCUGUGUUGGCCGGGCUGGUCUCCAGCUCCUAACCCCAAGUGAUCUGCCAGCCUUGGCCUCCCGAGGUGCCGGGAUUGCAGACGGAGUCUCGUUCACUCAGUGCUCAAUGUUGCCCAGGCUGGAGUGCAGUGGCGUGAUCCCCGCUCGCUACAACCUCCACCUCCCAGCCGCCUGCCUUGGCCUCCCAAAGUGCCGAGAUUGCAGCUUCUGCCCGGCCGCCACCCCCUCUGGGAAGUGAGGAGCAUCUCUGCCUGGCCGCCCAUCGUCUGGGAUGUCAGGAGCCCCUCUGCCCGGCCGCCCAGUCUGGGAAGUGAGGAGCGCCUCUGCCCGGCUGCCCAGUCUGGUAAGUGAGGAGCGCCUCUGCCCGGCUGCCCAGUCUGGGAAGUGAGGAGCGCCUCUUCCCGGCCGCCAUCCCAUCUAGGAAGUGAGGAGCGUCUCUGCCCGGCCGCCCAUCAUCUGAGAUGUGGGGAGUGCCUCUGCCCCGCCGCCCCGUCUGGGAUGUGAGGAGCGCCUCUGCCCGGCCACGACCCCAUCUGGGAGGGUCUUGCUCUGUCACCCAGGCUGGAGUUCAGUGGCCCAUCCAUAGCUCACUGCAGCCUCGACCUCCUGGGCUUCAAAGUGAUCCUCCUGCCUCAGCCUGCCAAGCAGCUAGGACUCUUUGCAGAUGGUAUUAAGAAACAGGGCAUCUGUGUCUCCCUGUGGAAAAACCCAGGCUCUUCUGGAACUGUGGGCUCCUUGUGUUGCUGUCAUGUAAUCAAGAAGCUAGAGGUAGCAGAACCCAAUCCUUACACCCAAAACACUAGCCAAGGGCAUCUUUCUCUCUUGCAUCUAGCUAUGACUCCAAAAGAGAAGAGCAAAUGGUCGCUACAUGCAAAACAAGUUGCCAACCACCAUAGGUUUUGUCUUUCAAAUUAUCAAAUAUAUGUAUACAUACUGAGACAGAGUUUCACUCUUGUUGCCCAGGCUACAGUGCAAUGGUGUGAUUUCAGCUCACUGCAACCUCCACCUCCCAGGUUCAAGCGAUUCUCAUGCCUCAGCCUCCCGAGUAGCUGGGAUUACAGGUGCCCACCACC
This 1099-nucleotide long non-coding RNA is filed under the name Homo sapiens (human). Its description in RNAcentral is "novel transcript". The record is from RNAcentral. Lineage: Eukaryota; Metazoa; Chordata; Mammalia; Primates; Hominidae.